This 441-nucleotide ribosomal RNA is filed under the name uncultured bacterium. RNAcentral describes it as "bacterial SSU rRNA". It matches the Rfam family "Bacterial small subunit ribosomal RNA", at positions 340 to 777 of the family's 1533-position model. The record is from RNAcentral.
UACGGGAGGCAGCAGGGGGAAUAUUGCACAAUGGGCGCAAGCCUGAUGCAGCCAUGCCGCGUGUAUGAAAAAGGCCUUCGGGUUGUAAAGUACUUUCAGUCGUGAGGAAGGUGUUAAGGUUAAUAACCUUAGCAAUUGACGUUAGCGACAGAAGAAGCACCGGCUAACUCCGUGCCAGCAGCCGCGGUAAUACGGAGGGUGCGAGCGUUAAUCGGAAUUACUGGGCGUAAAGGGCACGCAGGCGGUUAAUUAAGUUGGAUGUGAAAUCCCCGGGCUUAACCUGGGAAUGGCAUUCAAGACUGGUUAGCUAGAGUCUUGUAGAGGGGGUAGAAUUCCAUGUGUAGCGGUGAAAUGCGUAGAGAUGUGGAGGAAUACCGGUGGCGAAGGCGGCCCCUGGACAAAGACUGACGCUCAUGUGCGAAAGCUGGGGAGCAAACAGGG